RNAcentral lists this ribosomal RNA (148 nucleotides) under Cebus imitator (Panamanian white-faced capuchin). RNAcentral describes it as "5.8S ribosomal RNA (ENSCCAG00000011584.1)". It matches the Rfam family "5.8S ribosomal RNA". From Rfam's summary of the family: 5.8S ribosomal RNA (5.8S rRNA) is a component of the large subunit of the eukaryotic ribosome. It is transcribed by RNA polymerase I as part of the 45S precursor that also contains 18S and 28S rRNA. Functionally, it is thought that 5.8S rRNA may be involved in ribosome translocation. Lineage: Eukaryota; Metazoa; Chordata; Mammalia; Primates; Cebidae. The record is from RNAcentral.
UACUCUUAGCGGUGGACGACUUCGCUGAUGCGUUGAUGAAGAAUGCAGCUAGCUGCAAGAAUUAAUGUGAAUUGCAGGACACAUUGACCAUUGACACUUUGAAUGCACUUGGAUACCUGGAGCUCCAAAAAAAAAUGUAUUAGAUAGG